CAGGGAUUGCCUUAGUAACGGCGAGUGAAGCGGCAAUAGCUCAAAUUUGAAAUCUGGCGCUUGCGUCCGAGUUGUAAUUUGUAGAGGAUGAUUUUGGUUAGGUACCUUUCGAGUUCCUUGGAACAGGACGCCUUAGAGGGUGAGAGCCCCGUACGAUUGGAUGCCGAGCCUCUGUAAAUCUCCUUCGACGAGUCGAGUAGUUUGGGAAUGCUGCUCUAAAUGGGAGGUAAAUUUCUUCUAAAGCUAAAUACCGGCCAGAGACCGAUAGCGCACAAGUAGAGUGAUCGAAAGAUGAAAAGCACUUUGAAAAGAGGGUUAAAUAGCACGUGAAAUUGUUGAAAGGGAAGGAUUUAUGACCAGACUUUUUCUAGGAGAAUCAUCCGGUGUUCUCACCGGUGCACUUCUUUUAGUUUAGGCCAGCAUCGACUUUCGGCGGUGGAUAAAAGCUUUAGGAAUGUGGCUUCUCUCGGGAAGUGUUAUAGCCUAUUGUAUAAUACACUGCUGGGGGUCGAGGUACGCGCUUCUGCAAGGAUGCUGGCGUAAUGGUUAUCAAUCACCCGUCUUGAAACACGGACCAAGGAGUCGAACAUUUGUGCGAGUGUUUGGGUGUUAAACCCUCACGCGUAAUGAAAGUGAACGGAGGUGAGAGCCCUUACGGGUGCAUCAUCGACCGAUCCUGAUGUUUUCGGAUGGAUUUGAGUAAGAGCAUAAAUGUUCGGACCCGAAAGAUGGUGAACUAUGCGUGGAUAGGGUGAAGCCAGAGGAAACUCUGGUGGAGGCUCGCAGCGGUUCUGACGUGCAAAUCGAUCGUCAAAUCUGCGCAUGGGG
Molecule: ribosomal RNA, 828 nt
Filed under: Bartalinia pini
Lineage: Eukaryota; Fungi; Ascomycota; Sordariomycetes; Amphisphaeriales; Sporocadaceae
Description: partial large subunit ribosomal RNA
Rfam family: Eukaryotic large subunit ribosomal RNA
Source: RNAcentral